UAAAGAACUAAAAGCAUUUCCGCUCCCCUUUGUUUUGGAUAUAAUGAUGACGUCUUCUAUGUUUUCUGAUGUUUUGUUGGCGUCUUUUGCCACCAGCUGAUCAAUGAACCUGUGGGGAUUAUGUGCUUAAAACGACGUUAGAUUUUUUGAAUGACAUGAAGGAAUGGAGCGAUCAGAGUGAUUGUUCAGAGGGUGAUUAUGAUGAAGAAACAGAGCUGUUUGAACAGGAGACUGAGGAGUUUAUGAAAGAUUUUGUAGCAAAAAUAUUCCUUGAAGAAAGCGUUAUUUCUCAGGAGGACAAGCUCAAGUUUGGAAUCCUUAAUCAGCAUAGUGUGGGACGUCUUUCCUUUUCCAAACAUGUUGACAACCAGAGAGUAUAUUGCAAGAGUGUGCCAGAGACCAUCUUCUUCAGACUUGUACAGUACUUUGCAAUUGUUUUAUUUGAAUGUAACCAAGCUGACGAUUUUGAGCCAGCCAAGAUUUUAAUGAACAUGUGUUUUACAUUUUUCCUUCAAAUUAACAAAGAUGGAAAGGAAGUAAUGAAGCAGUUUAUUGUUCCAUACCUCAGAGAUCAACCGAUUUGGAAGUCACUUCGGUUCUGGAACGCAGCUUUUUUCGAUGCCGUACAUGGAGAACGAGAAGUUUCUGCCAUACCAAGUGAUACGUGGCAGAGUUGGACUGUACAAGAACAAAGUGAAUACAAAGAAUGUGACAAGAACAGCGUAUUUGGUAAAUUAGGAACGUUUCUCAAUAACAUGAAGGCAUUUGGUCUCGGAAACGACAUAUGCAAGGAAUUUCUUCAGAAAAUGAGUAUAAUUGGAGACUUGAGUGAAGGUAAGCCGACCUCAUCAGAAACGCUGGGGCGAGUAGUAUGAAAUCGAGGCAGGUUUUGAUUGUGUGCUGCUCCUUCCUUAUUAUGGGAUAGGCGCUCACUUGGUACAUGUCGAGGAUAAUAUGGACUGCUGGCAACCGAACAAAUUGUGCUUUUGGAGAAUAGCAUGGCUGCGGCUGGUGUUGACGAGCGCUCGCGGUAACUAAUCAGUUGCAUGAUAAGGGAAUCCCAGAAGAACGCAGUUUUUCUCAACACCGGCUCACUGCAUUCAGGACAUCAGCAGUACUCGAGAUCAUUUUAGUACUUUAAGUAUCUACGAAGCCAUGUAUCAACAUCUGUAAUAUUUUCUUCUAAAAAUUAUUCAUUGCUUACCCACUCGACUAGUUUUGCUCGGAAACGUUUAAGUGCUCCUUACUAAAGGUUGACGAUUCAGAGAGCAAAUUACUCCUUAGACAGUUUAUUGUGUGUUUUCAUUUUUAUGAGAUAAAAAUUGUUUCUUUGUAUCCCACUUUUUGGUAAUGAUACGGAAAAGUUCCGGGAUUUCAAACAACGUCCCAUGAAAGUUCAAAAAAGGCUGUAAAAAUCACAAUGAAUUUCAUUUAAUCUGCAAAGUGGAUUUUGUUAUGGUGAAUUGUACUGGUUUCGAAUGCAAUUUGAUAACUGAAGCGGUCCCUCAAAUUUCAGUUUGGAUUUAUCUUUAUAAACAAGGCCUAGGCGUUUCCUUUACAUAUUUAAAAUUUAAAAUUAUUUAUCGCACAGAAAAUGGGAUUUGGGUAUCUUUUAAUUAAAUUCAACUUCUUUCGUUUCAACGGAAGACAAUUAACGAAUUAUCUUAUUGUAAAUGUUAUGGCAAGAUAUUUUAAAAGUUUGUUGUUAAAUUAUUUAGUUUUCUAAGUACCGUGCUAACAGUGGUCUGUAUAUGAAGGAUUUUAACCACGCCAUUUUAAAUGGUAAUAAAUGACAUUUCUUAAAUUCCC
Pocillopora damicornis (cauliflower coral) is the source of this 1809-nucleotide unclassified non-coding RNA. The record is from RefSeq and is a predicted model, not a curated record. Lineage: Eukaryota; Metazoa; Cnidaria; Anthozoa; Scleractinia; Pocilloporidae.